CCUACGGGCGGCUGCAGUGGGGAAUAUUGGACAAUGGGGGCAACCCUGAUCCAGCCAUGCCGCGUGUGUGAAGAAGGCCCUCGGGUUGUAAAGCACUUUCAGUGAGGAAGAACGCCUGGUGGUUAAUACCCAUCAGGAAAGACAUCACUCACAGAAGAAGCACCGGCUAACUCCGUGCCAGCAGCCGCGGUAAUACGGAGGGUGCGAGCGUUAAUCGGAAUUACUGGGCGUAAAGCGCGCGUAGGUGGUUUGAUAAGCCGGUUGUGAAAGCCCCGGGCUCAACCUGGGAACGGCAUCCGGAACUGUCAAGCUAGAGUGCAGGAGAGGAAGGUAGAAUUCCCGGUGUAGCGGUGAAAUGCGUAGAGAUCGGGAGGAAUACCAGUGGCGAAGGCGGCCUUCUGGACUGACACUGACACUGAGGUGCGAAAGCGUGGGUAGCAAACAGGAUUAGAUACCCCUGUAGUC
Molecule: ribosomal RNA, 465 nt
Filed under: Vreelandella stevensii
Lineage: Bacteria; Pseudomonadati; Pseudomonadota; Gammaproteobacteria; Oceanospirillales; Halomonadaceae
Description: partial 16S ribosomal RNA
Rfam family: Bacterial small subunit ribosomal RNA
Source: RNAcentral